AUGAGCGGCGGACGGGUGAGUAACACGUAAGGAACCUGCCUCAAGGAUUGGGAUAACUCCGAGAAAUCGGAGCUAAUACCGGAUAGUUCAACGGACCGCAUGGUCCGCUGAUGAAAGGCGCUCCGGCGUCACCUUGAGAUGGCCUUGCGGUGCAUUAGCUAGUUGGUGGGGUAACGGCCCACCAAGGCGACGAUGCAUAGCCGACCUGAGAGGGUGAUCGG
This 221-nucleotide ribosomal RNA is filed under the name Exiguobacterium sp. RNAcentral's name for it is "partial 16S ribosomal RNA". It matches the Rfam family "Bacterial small subunit ribosomal RNA", at positions 91 to 307 of the family's 1533-position model. The record is from RNAcentral. Lineage: Bacteria; Bacillati; Bacillota; Bacilli; Caryophanales.